GGAUGCGAUCAUACUAGCACUAAAGCACCGGAUCCCAUCAGAACUCCGAAGUUAAGCGUGCUUGGGCGAGAGUAGUACUAGGAUGGGUGACCUCUUGGGAAGUCCUUGUGUUGCAUUCC
This 119-nucleotide ribosomal RNA is filed under the name Triticum aestivum (bread wheat). Lineage: Eukaryota; Viridiplantae; Streptophyta; Magnoliopsida; Poales; Poaceae. The record is from RNAcentral.